CCAGUACCCGCUGAAUUUAAGCAUAUCACUAAGCGGAGGAAAAGAAACUAACAAGGAUUCCCCUAGUAACGGCGAGUGAAGCGGGAAGAGCCCAGCACCGAAUCUUCUGUCUUUGAGGCAGUAAGACCUGUGGUGUUUAGGACAGCCUUUGGGGUUCCGUUGUCGCGUCCAAGUCCUCCUGAUCGGGGCCUUUCCCAUAGCGGGUGUCAGGCCUCUACUGGCGCGCGACGGAGUCUCUUUGAGCGCCCUAGGAGUCGGGUUGUUUGGGAAUGCAGCCCAAAGUGGGUGGUAAACUCCAUCUAAGGCUAAAUACUGACACGAGUCCGAUAGCGGACAGUACCGUGAGG
RNAcentral lists this ribosomal RNA (347 nucleotides) under Vanadis antarctica. Its description in RNAcentral is "partial large subunit ribosomal RNA". It matches the Rfam family "Eukaryotic large subunit ribosomal RNA", at positions 20 to 358 of the family's 3401-position model. Lineage: Eukaryota; Metazoa; Annelida; Polychaeta; Phyllodocida; Alciopidae. The record is from RNAcentral.